RNAcentral lists this ribosomal RNA (250 nucleotides) under uncultured bacterium. Its description in RNAcentral is "partial 16S ribosomal RNA". It matches the Rfam family "Bacterial small subunit ribosomal RNA", at positions 524 to 773 of the family's 1533-position model. The record is from RNAcentral.
UACGUAGGGUGCGAGCGUUGUCCGGAAUUAUUGGGCGUAAAGAGCUCGUAGGCGGCCUGUUGCGUCCGCUGUGAAAGCCCGGGGCUUAACCCCGGGUCUGCAGUGGAUACGGGCAGGCUAGAGUUCGGCAGGGGAGACUGGAAUUCCUGGUGUAGCGGUGAAAUGCGCAGAUAUCAGGAGGAACACCGGUGGCGAAGGCGGGUCUCUGGGCCGAUACUGACGCUGAGGAGCGAAAGCGUGGGGAGCGAAC